This 1255-nucleotide long non-coding RNA is filed under the name Chinchilla lanigera (long-tailed chinchilla). RNAcentral's name for it is "lncRNA (ENSCLAG00000025599.1)". The record is from RNAcentral. Lineage: Eukaryota; Metazoa; Chordata; Mammalia; Rodentia; Chinchillidae.
CUGAACUGCUCACAGCCUGCAGGCCAGAGGUCCUCACUCAAGGUGCCCUCAGGGCUUGUCCCCCAGAAGGCCCAAGGGAGGCCCUUCCUGCCUCCUUCAGCAGGGGGACGGGCUGGUGUCCCCGGCUGUGGCUAUGUCACUCGGACCUCGCCUUCUCUCACUGUGCCUGUCCUUUCUCAUCUCUAAGAGGACACGGCUCGCUGGGGUUAAGUCCAUGUUCUGCUCACUCGGGAUUUCUGGAAGAAGGACCGGAACACUGGUUCUUAUGCACCUGGAUAAACGCGCUCCCACCUACAGCAUCCACAGAACACGGAGUCCGUCCCAGUGCACCACCCUGAUCCACUUGCUGGACUUACUGAGCAAGCUCUCUGUGCAGGUAGAUUUUCCUUAUUCUUUCUGGUGCUCAUGUGGGAAUCCAUCCUGUGAGUUGUCUUCACUUAGGAGGUUUAACGCGAAGUGGUCAGCAGCACCCGCCACCUCUGCUUCUAUGUGCCAGGGGAGGGAUAUUCAUGCGGUGAAUUCCCAGACCCAAGGAAGCUACCUCACACUGGACUCGAUGAGACGCUGGUAGACACAGCCCUGCUGACUCCCGGGAAGCCCGCUCUCUGGGCAUCUCCCCUGUGCCCAGCGGCCAUGGUGCAGAGGGGACAGGGUGCAAACUUGAGGCAGGCAAGACCUGUUGCUUCCAAGGAGCAAGCUGAAGAACAGCACGCAGGAGUCAUGCUGUUUAGAAUGAAGAGAGAAGGAAAAAAGACAAGCAGUGAUCGGAGCAAUAGUGUGCGUUGGGGACUGAUAUUCUCAAAGGGGUGAAGAACUUCCGGGAUGCAUAAUGCAGAUUUCUCUGGGACAGGAGAGGGGAUUAGAAUUGGGGCUCAAAGUGAGAGCUGCCUAACCUUGAUUUGUAAAGUAGUCUCUCCCUCUUUCUCUCUCUCUUCCUCUCUCUCUCUCUCUCUCUCAAGACAUAAGCAUUCAAUAAUUUCAGAAAAGUAAAUAUAUUUUUAAAAGACUAAAAAUAGUGCCAGGUGUGGUGGCACAAGCCUGUAAUUCCAGGACUUGGGAGGCUGAAACAUGAGAAUUGCUGCCAGUUUGAUACCAGCCUGGGCUACAUAGUGAGUUCAAGGCCAGACUAAACUACAUAGAGAGACCCUAUCUCAAAAAAAUCCAAACCAAACAAAAACUAAGAAAGAUGUGAAGUAAACAAGCUAGUAGAUUGAAAAUAAUUAGCGGAGGGCAGAGUAUACAGGUAACUCUGACU